UUUUUUUAAUAAUGUAAAAGAAUAAAGUGUUGGAGUAGUAGUAGAUAUGAUCUUGAAACUCAAAGAAUUUGGCGGUAUUUUAGUCUUUUCAGAGGAACCUGUCCCGUGAUUGAUAAUACACGAUUUUUGAUACUUAUUUUUGUUAUCMGUUUAUAUACCGUCGUCAGGAAGAUUAUCUUGUGGAGAGUAUAAAAUUUCUAGUUAUGUAAUUGUAUAUGAUGUCAGAUCAAGGUGUAGCUAAUGGGUAAGUGGUGAUGGGUUACAAUAAAUUUAUUUAUAUGAAUAAUAGUUAUAAUAAUUAUUUGAAGGKGGAUUUGAUUGUAAAUUGAUUGGGAUUAAUUUAUUGAUURUGGCUCUAGAAUGUGCACAUAUCGCCCSUCGCUCUCGU
This 388-nucleotide ribosomal RNA is filed under the name Cophogryllus sp. India. RNAcentral describes it as "partial 12S ribosomal RNA". Lineage: Eukaryota; Metazoa; Arthropoda; Insecta; Orthoptera; Gryllidae. The record is from RNAcentral.